AUAAAAGAAUAUUAGUAAAUUUUAUUUUUACUAUUAGAUUUAUAUUGAGAAGAUGGAAAUUGACAUAUAUGGGUUCUGUUGCAUUCUUGCGAACUCGAACCUAGUACGAGCACCUCCCGUGACGGUUGAUUUUUGUAGUGAUUUCUAGACUUCAAGAUGGAUUUGCCCCAAUGUUUACAUCAAUGGUCGCUGAACAAUGCCACUUACCUUGUACUUCCUGGGGCACUCCAUCCUUAUUAUCUG
This is a long non-coding RNA of Capsicum annuum, 243 nucleotides long. RefSeq lists it as uncharacterized. The transcript has 3 exons. Lineage: Eukaryota; Viridiplantae; Streptophyta; Magnoliopsida; Solanales; Solanaceae. The record is from RefSeq and is a predicted model, not a curated record.